UGCAUGUACUGCAUCUUCACCUGGAAAGAGUAGGUGACCACAACUGCAAUGAACCACACUGUGGCGCUGACACACCUGGCUGCUCCUGUGGUCCUCCAUCGAUGGAGAGUGCUGGACACGUGGACGACAGCAAGAGAGACCCACACAGCGUAGAAGUCUUGGUACAGCUGCACAUCCAGGUGGGCUAACCUGUGCAAGUGCGGUGUACCCCACCGCUGGUCCCAGGCGGUGCAGUUAGUUGCGUCUGGAGUGAGGAGGGGCUCAGUGGAGGGAGUGGAGCUGAUGUUGGCAGGAAGACUCUCCAUUGGUUGAAAAGGAUGAAUGAAUAGUGGGUUGGCUACUGAAUGGCAGAAGUGAAACCGAGAGUCUCCCUCUGAAUAUCUGAAAAAGUGAUUUGGAAAAGAUGGUGAUUGGAAAGGAAGGACGAGGAAGGGAAGGAGAAGAACAGAACGUAAUGGCUCAGCAAAACAAGAUUUGGGCCCGAUAGCAUGAAUCACAGACAUGAUGAGGCAAAAGCAAAGCUUAUUUGGCCAUUGAGGCAGACGAAACGGGCAACCAGUCUUAUGCCCCAUAAGACAGAGGGCUGAGUGUCCAAAGAGGCAGGGAGGGGUCAAACACAGCAGGCUGGGGAAAGGGCUAGAUCAACUGGAUGGCUCAAUAAACGAUCUGUGAUGGAAUCGAGAAAAAUCAGCAGGUAUAUCAGGAUAGGAUAUAUCCACUGAAGGCAGCUGGUUGAAUUGGGAAUAACAUGAUCUGAAAUGAGAGUAGUGAGUAAGUGACAGGCAGGCAAAAUAGGCAAAGGAAAAAUGUGCAAAAAAGAAGAGCUGGCUGAUGCUACGACACAGAAAAACUAUGUUGUUUUUGUGAGACAAAAGAAAAGAGUGGCUGGAAUGGACUAUUUUAUUCAAGUUGGCUUUAAUAAAGUUUAUUUAAAGCUGCCUCUGGGGUGGUCCAACACUGGAAGGGUCUCUUUUUGUUUUAGUGCUAA
Long non-coding RNA from Seriola aureovittata, 988 nucleotides. RefSeq lists it as uncharacterized. The transcript is spliced from 3 exons. The record is from RefSeq and is a predicted model, not a curated record. NCBI's taxonomy places the organism in Eukaryota, Metazoa, Chordata, Actinopteri, Carangiformes, Carangidae.